GGAUUAGAUACCCUGGUAGUCCUAGCUGUAAACGAUCAGCACUAGACUGAGGGAACUCCCACAUUCUCUCGGUCGUAGCGAAAGUGUUAAGUGCUGCGCCUGGGGAGUAUGGCCGCAAGGCUGAAACUCAAAGGAAUUGACGGGGGCUCACACAAGCGGUGGAGGAUGUGGCUUAAUUCGAGUCUACGCGAAGAACCUUACCUAGGCUUGAACUGCUUGAGAACACUCUAGAAAUAGAGUGGUGCCUUUCGGGGAGCUCUUGCAGAGGUGCUGCAUGGCUGUCGUCAGCUCGUGUUG
RNAcentral lists this ribosomal RNA (297 nucleotides) under uncultured bacterium. RNAcentral's name for it is "partial 16S ribosomal RNA". It matches the Rfam family "Bacterial small subunit ribosomal RNA", at positions 775 to 1067 of the family's 1533-position model. The record is from RNAcentral.